RNAcentral lists this ribosomal RNA (253 nucleotides) under uncultured bacterium. RNAcentral's name for it is "partial 16S ribosomal RNA". It matches the Rfam family "Bacterial small subunit ribosomal RNA", at positions 524 to 776 of the family's 1533-position model. The record is from RNAcentral.
UACGUAGGGUGCGAGCGUUGUCCGGAAUUAUUGGGCGUAAAGCGUGCGCAGGCGGUCUUUUAAGUCAGAUGUGAAAUCCCCGGGCUUAACCUGGGAACUGCGUUUGAAACUGAAAGGCUAGAGUGUGGCAGAGGGGGGUGGAAUUCCACGUGUAGCAGUGAAAUGCGUAGAGAUGUGGAGGAACACCGAUGGCGAAGGCAGCCCCCUGGGCUAACACUGACGCUCAUGCACGAAAGCGUGGGGAGCAAACAGG